UACGUAGGGCGCAAGCGUUGUCCGGAAUUAUUGGGCGUAAAGAGCUCGUAGGCGGUUUGUCGCGUCUGCUGUGAAAUUUCGGGGCUCAACCCCGAACUUGCAGUGGGUACGGGCAGACUAGAGUGUGGUAGGGGAGACUGGAAUUCCUGGUGUAGCGGUGAAAUGCGCAGAUAUCAGGAGGAACACCGAUGGCGAAGGCAGGUCUCUGGGCCAUAACUGACGCUGAGAAGCGAAAGCAUGGGGAGCGAACAGG
Molecule: ribosomal RNA, 253 nt
Filed under: uncultured bacterium
Lineage: Bacteria
Description: partial 16S ribosomal RNA
Rfam family: Bacterial small subunit ribosomal RNA
Source: RNAcentral